This 765-nucleotide unclassified non-coding RNA is filed under the name Hevea brasiliensis (rubber tree). The record is from RNAcentral. Lineage: Eukaryota; Viridiplantae; Streptophyta; Magnoliopsida; Malpighiales; Euphorbiaceae.
AAGUAAUAUAAAUUAUUUCCUAGAAGAAAAAAAAGGAUUGAUAAUAAAAAAGAAAAUCGAAAUAUAAAUUUUAUAUUUUACAUUCACAUAGCUUUUUUUUGGAACCAAACAACCCCAAUAUUUUCCUUUUUAUUUUCAAUUUGGUCUCAACGAAGAACCAUGACCACGAUCACAACCAUCACCAUCAUCAUCGCUUUCGUCACGACCUCGUUUAUUUCCAACACCAAAGAAAAAGUCAUCUAAUCCAACGGUUAGGAUUAAAUCUUCUUUAAUUUCUCAGCUUUGAUCAAUGGAUUUGCCUUAGCUAUAGCUUCUCUCCCCAUUGACUUAAAAUCAAAUGUACAAGCAUGAACCUCUGGAUACCUAUGGGUCCCACAAAAUAUGGUCCCACACUUGCAUCUAAAUCCCAUUAACCCCAUUUUCUUCUUACAAACCAAACAUCUAUUCGACUGCGGCGUCACAACAUUUGACGUCGUAGCCUUCAUUGUAUCCGUUGUCAAAACAAUCGGCUCGAUUAUCUUUUUUUCCGAAACCUUUUUUGUCGGAGAAAAAAGAGAAUCGAUUGAUUUUGCAUCGGAUUUUUGUUUUUCGAUAUCGCGAUAACAUUUUGAACAAUAAUUUUCGGUUGUAGAGUUGCCAAAAAAACCACAAUUAUUUGCACAUAAUUGGUGACGUCCACCUUCUUGGGAUUGAAAUUCAUGUUCUUCCGCCAUAGAAAUAAUUUUUUUUUGAUUGAAUAUUUGAUGAAAAUAAAUUAUGGGUUUU